AGUGAACGCUGGCGGUAGGCCUAACACAUGCAAGUCGAACGGCAGCACAGGAGAGCUUGCCCUCUGGGUGGCGAGUGGCGGACGGGUGAGGAAUACAGCGGAAUCUACUGUAUCGGGGGGGAUAACGUAGGGAAACUUACGCUAAUACCGCAUACGACCUACGGGUGAAAGCAGGGGACCUUCGGGCCUUGCGCGAUUGAACGAGCCGAUGUCGGAUUAGCUAGUUGGCGGGGUAAAGGCCCACCAAGGCGACGAUCCGUAGCUGGUCUGAGAGGAUGAUCAGCCACGCUGGAACUGAGACACGGUCCAGACUCCUACGGGAGGCAGCAGUGGGGAAUAUUGGACAAUGGGCGCAAGCCUGAUCCAGCCAUACCGCGUGGGUGAAGAAGGCCUUCGGGUUGUAAAGCCCUUUUGUUGGGAAAGAAAUCCAGCUGGCUAAUACCCGGUUGGGAUGACGGUACCCAAAGAAUAAGCACCGGCUAACUUCGUGCCAGCAGCCGCCGUAA
RNAcentral lists this ribosomal RNA (506 nucleotides) under uncultured bacterium. RNAcentral's name for it is "partial 16S ribosomal RNA". It matches the Rfam family "Bacterial small subunit ribosomal RNA", at positions 29 to 523 of the family's 1533-position model. The record is from RNAcentral.